CAUGUCAGCUGUCUAGGUCGUUGGGGAAUUGCCACUGGUAUGUGGUAAUGAGGUCCGCAUAGUUGUGGAUGAGACCCAGUCACUAGACAAGGCCUUUUCUGCUGACCAGUGUCAAAUGGGGUUCCCUUGGUGCCAGCCAAUAGGACAUACUUUGGGGAUGGGAAGAUCUUCAGUUUCCAGAGUUGGACCAGUGGAAGUUCUGCUACCAGAUAUAGUUCUUUCCAAGGUUGCAUGUUGACUGCAACAGACUACUAACACAGGUGUUGGAUGCCACAGCUGACACUGCUCUAAAGGUAAUAAGACACAUUUUUACAUACCAUUAAAAUUGUUUAAGCUAAAUCUCUUAAGCUACUGAGUGUUAAAAUUCUGUUUCUGAAUGAAAAUUGAGUUGUCUUUUGCAACCGGAAUUACAGAGAUAAUGUUUUUAUUGCAAUAUUUUUAUGUUUGUUUUGUAUAGAUUUUUUUCUAUUUUCAGAGGGAUCUGCAAUUGGGAGAGCUGAUAGUUUGUUUUCUGUUUUGUACAUAUUUUAAUGUUAGACAUGUUUUAAAAUCUGAAUAAAUACCUUUUUUUUUAAAUACGUUAUGAUUUAAUUGCGUGCGUAGGAGGCAUUGUGGGAACGAGGGCGGGACGCGCGGUUUUUUUUUCCAUUGCUGUGGUGGAGUUUUGGAAGGUGUUUAUUUUUGUAGGUUAUUUGUUCGGAGGCAGUGGGUUUUUGUUUGGAGAUGGUUUGCUUCUGUUCCUUUUAGGUUGCAUGUUGACUGCAACAGACUACUAACACAGGUGUUGGAUGCCACAGCUGACACUACUCUAAAGGUAAUACACAUUUUUUUAUAUACCAUUUAUCCUCUGAAAAUUUAAUAAAAACUGGUAUUAAUAAAUAUAAAACAUUGCAGUUUUAACUUUUAACAGUAUAAUUUAUGUACAUCUUAAUACUAAUAAUUCCGGUUGUAGAAGGUGUUUUUUAUUGGGUUUUUUCAAUAUUUCUCUUUCUUGCUGUUCCCCCAAAAUGUGAAACAUAGGAUAAGUAUUAGCUCACCUGUCACAUCGUCACCUCAACGCAACGGUCAUAUCUUAUUAUAAAUUUAUAAUAAGAUACAACUUUGUUGCGUUGAGGUGACGACAUAAUGACAAGAUGAGCUUUUGUGUUCACCCUUCGUCCGUCGUCCUUUGGAUAGGGAACUCUGCAAUUGCAGAGCCAUUCUUAGGUGCCCUUUUCUCUUUCAGCUAGAUAGGGAACUAAAUUGUGUAGAUAGGGAAUCUCCUAUGGAAAGGCAUUUGUAGCCUGUAACUCUGCAGCCGGAUAAUGCCUCUCAUAUUGAAAGGCAUUUGAAGCCUCAAGUAUACAGCCGGAUAAUGCCACUCCUAUGGAAAGCAUUCGAAGUUUGUAAGUGUGCAGCUGGAUUAUGUCUCUCCUAUGGAAAACCGUUCGAAGUCUGCUAAAAAAUAAUAUAACUGGUCUUUAGAAUCAAAUGGUUGGUAUCACGAACAGUAAGUAAUUGCAAGUUGUGAAAGAGGAUCAGGAGAUUACAUCGACCAGGCUAACAUUUUGAGGGACAGUGAAAAUUGUUUAAGCUAAAUCUCUUAAGCUACUGAGUGUUAAAUUCUUUUUCUGAAUGAAAAUUGAGUUGUCUUUUGCAACCGGAAUUACAGAGAUAAUGUUUUUAUUGCAAUAUUUUUAUGUUUGUGUUGUAUAGAUUUUUUUUCUAUUUUCAGAGGGAUCUGCAAUUGGGAGAGCUGAUAGUUUGUUUUCUGUUUUGUACAUAUUUUAAUGUUAUGACAUGUUUUAAAAUCUGAAUAAAUACAAUUUUUAGCUCGACUAUUCGAAGAAUAGUCUAGCUAUUCUACUCACCCUGGCGUCGGCGUCGGCGUCACACCUUGGUUAAGUUUUUGCAUGCAAGUACAUACAGCUAUCAUUUAAAGGCAUAUAGCUUUGAAAUUUAUUUAUUCUUUUUCUAGGUCAAUUACCAACCUCACUGGGUCAAGUUCCAUAACUCUAACAUGUAUUUUGAGCAAAUUAUGCCCCCUUUUGGACUUAGAAAAUUCUGGUUAAAGUUUUACAUGCAAGUUACUAUCUCCAAAACUAAUGCAGAUAUUGAAUUGAAACUUCACAUGUGUCUUCGGGGUUAUAAAACUAGUUGAUAGCACCAAGUCCCAUAACUCUGACCUUGUUUUUGGCCAAAUUAUGCCCCCUUUUGGACUUAGAAAAUUUUGGUUAAAGUUUUGCGUGCAAGUACAUACAGCUAUUACCAAAAGGCAUAUAGAUUUGAAACUUAUUUUUUCUUUUUCUAGAUCAAUUACCUUCAUCACUAGGUCAAGUCCAAUAACUCUAACAUGUAUUUUGGCCAAAUUAUGCCCCCUUUUGGACUUAGAAAAUUCUGGUUAAAGUUUUGCAUGCAAGUACAUACAGCUAUUACUAAAAGGCAUAUGGAUUUAAAACUUAUUUUUUCUUUUUCUAGAUCAAUUACUUACCUCACUGGGUCAAGUCCCAUAACUCUGACAUGUAUUUUGGGCAAAUUAUGCCCCCUUUUGGACUUAGAAAAUUCUGGUUAAAGUUUUACAUGCAAGUUACUAUCUCCAAAACUAACGUAGAUAUUGAAUUGAAACUUCACAUGUGUCUUCGGGGUUAUAAAACUAGUUCAUAGCAGCAAGUCCCAUAACUCUGACCUUCAUUUUGGCCAAAUUAUGCCCCCUUUUGGACUUAGAAAAUUUUGGUUAAAGUUUUGCGUGCAAGUACAUACAGCUAUUACCAAAAGGCAUAUAGAUUUGAAACUUAUUUUUUCUUUUUCUAGAUCAAUUACCUACAUCACUAGGUCAAGUCCAAUAACUCUGACAUGUAUUUUGGCCAAAUUAUGCCCCCUUUUGGACUUAGAAAAUUCUGGUUAAAGUUUUGCAUGCAAGUACAUACAGCUAUUACUAAAAGGCAUAUGGAUUUAAAACUUAUUUUUUCUUUUUCUAGAUCAAUUACCUACCUCACUGGGUCAAGUCCCAUAACUCUGACAUGUAUUUUGGGCAAAUUAUGCCCCCUUUUGGACUUAGAAAAUUCUGGUUAAAG
This is a long non-coding RNA of Mercenaria mercenaria, 3053 nucleotides long. RefSeq lists it as uncharacterized. The record is from RefSeq and is a predicted model, not a curated record. Lineage: Eukaryota; Metazoa; Mollusca; Bivalvia; Venerida; Veneridae. The transcript is spliced from 2 exons.